CAGUAGCCACGGUAAUACGUAGGGUCCGAGCGUUGUCCGGAAUUACUGGGCGUAAAGCGCACGUAGGCGGAUAUUUAAGUCAGGGGUGAAAUCCCGCAGCUCAACUGCGGAACUGCCUUUGAUACUGGGUAUCUUGAGUAUGGAAGAGGUUAGUGGAAUUGCGAGUGUAGAGGUGAAAUUCGUAGAUAUUCGCAGGAACACCAGUGGCGAAGGCGGCUAACUGGUCCAUAACUGGCGCUGAGGUGCGAAAGCGUGGGGAGCAAACAGGAUUAGAUACCCCAGUAGUCCCUGUCUCUUAUAC
RNAcentral lists this ribosomal RNA (301 nucleotides) under uncultured bacterium. RNAcentral's name for it is "partial 16S ribosomal RNA". It matches the Rfam family "Bacterial small subunit ribosomal RNA", at positions 509 to 807 of the family's 1533-position model. The record is from RNAcentral.